CGGGGUGCACCAGGCGCGAAAACUUUACAAUGCACGAAAGUGUGAUAAGGGAAUCCUAAGUGCUCAGGCAUUGCCUGGGCUUUUGCCAUAUGUAAAUAGUAUGGCGAAUAAGUAGUGGGCAAGACUGGUGCCAGCCGCCGCGGUAACACCAGCGCUACAAGUGGCAAUCGCGUUUAUUGGGCCUAAAGCGUCCGUAGCAGGUUUUGUAAAUUUCUUGUGAAACUGCCAGGCUUAACUUGGCAAUGUGCAGGGAACACUGCAAGACUUGAGACCGGGAAGGGUCGGAGGUAUUCCUGAGGGAGCGGUAAAAUGCUAUAAUCUCAGGAGGACCACCGGUGGCGAAGGCGUCCGACUAGAACGGAUCUGACUGUGAGGGACGAAAGCCAGGGGAGCAAACCGGAUUAGAUACCCGAGUAGUCCUGGCUGUAAACGCUGUGAGCUAGGUGUCGCGUAUUCUACGGGAAUGCGCGGUGUCGUAAGGAAGCUACUAAGCUCACCGCCUGGGAAGUACGGUCGCAAGACUCAAACUUUAAGGAAUUGGCGGGGGAGCAC
Molecule: ribosomal RNA, 552 nt
Filed under: uncultured archaeon
Lineage: Archaea
Description: bacterial SSU rRNA
Rfam family: Archaeal small subunit ribosomal RNA
Source: RNAcentral